UAGGGAAUCUUCGGCAAUGGACGAAAGUCUGACCGAGCAACGCCGCGUGAGUGAAGAAGGUUUUCGGAUCGUAAAACUCUGUUGUUAGAGAAGAACAAGGACGUUAGUAACUGAACGUCCCCUGACGGUAUCUAACCAGAAAGCCACGGCUAACUACGUGCCAGCAGCCGCGGUAAUACGUAGGUGGCAAGCGUUGUCCGGAUUUAUUGGGCGUAAAGCGAGCGCAGGCGGUUUCUUAAGUCUGAUGUGAAAGCCCCCGGCUCAACCGGGGAGGGUCAUUGGAAGCUGGGGGACUUGAGUGCAGAAGAGGAGAGUGGAAUUCCAUGUGUAGCGGUGAAAUGCGUAGAUAUAUGGAGGAACACCAGUGGCGAAGGCGGCACUCUGGUCUGUAACUGACGCUGAGGCUCGAAAGCGUGGGGAGCAAACAGG
RNAcentral lists this ribosomal RNA (429 nucleotides) under Gemmatimonadota bacterium. RNAcentral describes it as "Gemmatimonadetes bacterium partial 16S ribosomal RNA". It matches the Rfam family "Bacterial small subunit ribosomal RNA", at positions 355 to 776 of the family's 1533-position model. Lineage: Bacteria; Pseudomonadati; Gemmatimonadota. The record is from RNAcentral.